AUGCACGUGGUCGCACCUGAGUCGUCGUACACUUCACGGGUCUGGAAGAGGAACUUGGCGCCCAAGGGUGUUGAAGUUGCAGUCUUCACGUCAACGAGAACAUGCAGCGAAGGAGGGGGCUCGAGCAGGGAGGUGGAGCACAGAAGGCGGCUGGAGAUGGCAGAUUGUCAGCAGGCAGAGGGCCGACGGGAGGAGGCAGGCGAGGUGGAUGUCCAUGGCAGCAGAAGGAGAAGCACUAGGCUGGACCGUGCAGCAGCGGGCGAGGGACUCCGGGACGGCAUGGAGGUCGAGGAAGAUGAGCUCGAGGCGGCGCUGGAGCAUGGUGGCAUGGAGGCCAGACGAAGCAGGAAGGCUCAAUGGAGGUCGCCGGCACGGAGAAGUCGCAGGCGAGGUGCGGGUGUAGCAGAGGAGACGAGGCGCCGCUUGGGGCUCAGGGUCGCGGGGAAGGAGCAGCUCCGGUGGUGCGGCGCCGGAGACGGCAGGGGAGCGACGUCCUGGGGCAGCACGGCGAGGCGAAGGCCGACGGCAGCGAGAAGGCUCCGGCCUGGUACACUUCUCCGGCGAGGGCGGAGCAUGGGUUCUGGCACUAGAGGCACGCGGGUGCGAGAGCGAGGGGAUCUGGCGCGAUGCGCUGGGUUCCUAGCGGCGCGAAGGAAAGAGAGGGAGUCGAGGGGAGAGAGAUAUGGCGCAAGUGAACGAGGGGGAUGA
RNAcentral lists this ribosomal RNA (708 nucleotides) under Triticum aestivum (bread wheat). RNAcentral's name for it is "partial small subunit ribosomal RNA". The record is from RNAcentral. Lineage: Eukaryota; Viridiplantae; Streptophyta; Magnoliopsida; Poales; Poaceae.